AAAAGUGACGUGAAAACAACAAGGAUAAUUAGUACUUCUAUUUAGCAAUUCACUGUUCCUUCUUCAAUCAAUUAUCCAAGAUCAGAUGUUCUAAAAUAUGAUGCCUGAGUCGGAUGGAUAAUGCUUAAAAGCCAACCAAUACCAAGUGACUCUAAAGCAGAAUCCUGUUAUCCAAAUAAUCUUGCAAAUUUCGUUCACUUGGUUCAAAAGAGCAGAAGCAGUUUCGUCCAAAAAUUUCAACGAAGGUUCUCCAACGGGAAAUUAUACAGAGGUUUUUUCUACUCCAGGUAUGUUAAGGCUAAGCUUUUUCUUUAUUUUAGCAUGAUCGCGUCAUUACACAGGUUUGAUAACGAGCCAUAAAGUAAAAUUCAUGUCCCGGAAUUUACGUAUAUUUUUUUAGUUUUGUAAGUUACAAUAUUCUCUUUAUCGGGAUUUCAUAUUCAUUUGAGUAUUCCCUCUUCCAGUCAAGACAGCAGAGAGUUUAUAUAUACAGUAUUACAGUAUUUUCAUUACGAUCGAGCUAUAAUCGAUGGGCAUGCCCCUAUUGGGCAACCUCUAAUCAGAUGGUAAAUUAUAUACCGAGCUCAUGUGGCAAAGUGCUUAUGAGUGAGCCCAGUUGGUCGAGAUACAAAGCCUAGUAUGGCCGAGCGCCUAUGAGCGAGCCUACUACAACAGAGCAGUUAUAUAUAUACCGAGUCUUAUAGGUCCGGACAACUAUUUUACUUACUAUAUUGAGAGAGUUAAGUCAGUAUCAGCAGGUAAGCAUAUCUUCAGAUUAUCUUUGACUUUCAGCUACUUGCAAUUAUUAUGUUAUCAGUUCAGUUUCAGCUUUUAGUAUAUUGCCUUACAUACUCAGUACAUUUUUUUGUACUGACGUCCCUUUUCUGGGGGCGUUGCAUUUCAUGCGUGCAAGUCAGACAGACAGACGGGUAGGCCUCUUCAAUAAGUGUUGCCCGAGUUCAGCUUGAUCAGUAAGCCCCAUGCCUUUAGGAGUUUCCGGAUCUAGAGCCUUAUGUACAUCUUGUAUAUAUAUGUAUAUAUGUUAUGAGUAGGUCGGGGAGCUGUUUCGAUCAUAGUAUAUCCAUCAGUAGAGGCUUGCAGACAUAUCCUAUCAGUUAGUGCUAUAUGUUGGGCUUGCAGACCUUGUAUGUAUAUUUGGUUGGUUUGUCAGCUGUAAUAGUUAUGACGGCCUUGUCGGCCCUGUUUUAUAUUGACAUUUAGUCAGCAUUCGCAGUAAUCUUGCAAUGUGGCCCAUGACCAAAGUAUGACAUCAUAUGUUUAGAAUUCCUUAGUUGCAAGUUGGUACGCAAGGAUAGGUGAGGCACUGGGUGCCGGUCUCGCCCCCGGGUUCGUGGCGUGACACAAUCUUCAUUUGUUCCGAUUUUAUGCAACCUCCAACUGUGACAAAAUAACUCAAGAUUUGGUAUAAACAAAUCUUACCAUUACAAUCAGGCUUAAAGACAAUUUUGAGGCAUUUUCUCACGGAUUACUCAUAGAUUACAUACUCCUAAUGCAUCAAAAUGAUGAGCUAAAUCUAAAAAAGUAGAAAAAUCAAAUAUGGGCAAUUCGAAAAAACUUUCCUUCAAUCUCCAUUUGUUCUAAUUUUAUGCAAUCUCCAACUGCGACAAAAUAACUCAAGAUUUGGUAGAAAUAAAUUUUACCAUUACAAUCAGGCUUAAAGAUAAUUCUUAGGCUUUUUCUCAACGAAUUACUCACAUAUUACAUACUUGUAAUACAUAAAAAGUAUGAGCAAAAUCUAAAAAAGUGUUGCAUAUAUUUUGAUAGUGAUCGCAACCCUAUUUACAAGAAACCUCAAAACUAGCGGUGGCAUCAUAGAUUCAUAGUAUAGUAUUGUAACCAUUAACUGAAAAAUGACAUGUGAAUCCAGAAGAAAAAAGGAAUAUUAUGGUGUGAAGAAAAAUAAGAAUAUUAUGAUGUGAAGAAGAACGGCUUUGGAUCUAUGACUGAAAUUUUGAAAGAUGGCCGAAAACUUUUACCAGCGAAACUUUACAUUUUCCGAUGAAGAAAUUUUUUACAAAGAAGCAUGAAAUCAUUUCACACGCUCAAUUUUGCAUGGAAGCACAUAAUCUACCGUGUAAGCACUUUGUGUUGUAAAGACACAAUUUAAACAUAGUUCAAGUAUUCAAUUGGUCAUAAGCUUAGCUUAAUGCAUAACUGAAAAAUUCAAAUAAGUUUAAGGGAUGUCUAUGUAUUUGGCCUAAAAUAAUUAGUUAUAUACUAAUAUUGACUUCCCUAGCAAGUGGACGUUAGGCUCCAUCACGGCUCUGUGGUUGGUAUUUCAGGUCACCACAUUUUGAUGUUCGCAAGGUUCAGAAUUGAUUUAAUAGAGUGAUCCUCAAUUUGGAAGCCAUAACUUGGAAGAGUAGACAAAAAUUUGACUUUUGAGUAAACGACCUCAAAAUUAAGAUUCAAUGAUUUUAAUAGUUUUAUAUAGUUAUAUACGGCCAAAAUUGGGGAGUUUGAUUUUGGGGUACUAUGCCGCCCCAUACCUAACCUCGAAGAAGCCCGAAGCAGAGCAUGAGGUACGACCCUGAGGUGUGUCCCUCGAGAGAGUAUAUCGAAGGCUCACUAUGGUUGACCUUGGAGCUGUACAAUCGAUGAUCAUCAUGGAAAUGUAGGAAAAUUUCCAAAUACACGUGGUUAGAGCUGACCAUGCCUGCAAGAAUAGUACAAAUCUGUACUAAGUCAUUAUACAGUUGUACCAAUAGUAUUUCGUCGUUAUUAUUAGACAUAUACUAUGUUGGUAUUACCACUCAUAUAUAAAGGGGACUCUUGUCAUCUUGUAAGAGGAUUCAGAUUAUUACACAACAUAUUGAAUACAAUAUAACAUUCUCUACUCUUUGCUUAGAACAAUUGUCCUACGCAUUUAUUGCUUAUUCUUUCAUUGUUCAUUCAUUGUUCAUUUAUUGUUCUUUAUUUAUUUCUCAUUAUCAACCACAAAAUGCCAUAGGCCCUCAUUAUCAUUGAUUCUCCACCAAUUGUCCAUUGCUAUUAGCCCCAUCUAGACCUCGAGGUCCUGCUCCAGCCAGCUCGAGGCCCAACCUUGUGACCCAAAAGGUUUGCAUUUCUUAUUUUCUUUACUUACACCUAGCAUUUAUUGCCCUACAACUAGUAUUAAAAUAAAUCACGUAUUUUUGGAACCACAAAAUCAAAUAUAAUUGCAGUUACCAUUUUCAAGGUAAACAGUUUGGCACCCACCGUGGAGCUAAGAAUAAUAGUGAUCAUUUUGGUGCUAGUUUUUUGAAAACACAAGUUAUUCUUCACACUUUUUCUAGUCAAAGAAUCUCUGAUUUCAGGUCAAAAAUGUCUAACUCAGCAAAUUCACGUGAAAAUGACGGUAUUGGGCUUUAAUGAGAAAACGGUGCAGACAUCGGUUUACCACCGCAAAACCUAGGGGUAAUGCCACCAGAUGCCGGUAUACCACCGCAUAACCCAAAGGAGGCACCAGCACAAAUCCCAAUCGAUGUGAACACGCGGAAUAUUGUGCAUGUCGAUGUAAGCUCUCCUACCGACGGAAGAGUGCGCGAUGAGGAAAGAGACGUUAGUCUUCAAGUAAUCUUUGAAAUGUUGCAAGCACAACAAGUGGCUAUUUCUCAGCUACAAAGUCAACAAACAACUCCAAGCACAACAAUACCGGAAAUGUCUCCUCGAGUCGAGCAGGCACCAGAGAGAUCGAGUAACAAUAGGUUAGCAGCGGACCCCGCUAUUGUGAAGAUGCUAAAGAACCUUACCAAAAGGAUUGAAUCAGGAGAAAAGAAGAUAGAGGCUAACGACAAAAAAGUAGAGACUUAUAACUCAAGGGUCGAUCAGAUCCCUAGGGAACCCCCGAUUCUAAAGGGUAUAGAUUCAAAAAGUUCGUGCAGAGAUCAUUACCAACAAGUGCGGCUCCGAAGCCCAUCCCGAAGAAAUUCAGAAUGCCCGAUGUCCUGAAGUAUAACGGGACCACGGACCCCAAUGAGCACGUUACCGCUUAUACUUGUGCUGUAAAAGGGAACAACUUGAAGGAUGACGAAAUUGAGUCCGUCUUGUUGAAGAAAUUUGGAGAAACACUAUCAAAGAGGGGUUAUGAUGUGGUGUCAUAACCUACCCCCAAAUUCAAUUGAUUCAUAUGCCAUAUUGGUAGACUCUUUUGUGAGGGCACACACUGGUGCCAUCAAGGUCGCCACCAGGAAGUCCAAUAUCUUCAAAAUAAAACAAAGAGAAAACGAGAUGCUAAGGGAAUUUGUAUCUUGCUUUCAGAUGGAGCGAAUGGAAUGACCACCAGUCUUCGAUGACUAGGCAGUACAGGCCUUCACUCGAGGCUUAAAAAAAUUUGAUCGAAUAUUUUGCCGCGACCUGGGCGGAUGUGCAUAACAGAUAUCAAUCAAAGAUCAGGGUCGAAGAUGAUAUAUUAGGCGCCCCCUCGGGCUUAGUAUAUCCUAGUAGAAUCUUAACGAAGGAACAAAAGCUUAUAGAAAGGGAGUCAAGGCCAAGCAAGGAAAGGUACCAACCAUAUGUAGAAGAUCGAAUAAGCACCCUAAGGCGUAAUAUACCUCGAGGAGAUCGAAGGACAGAUCAAGGUCAAAGCUCUUGGGGACUCAUGAGUAAAACUGGGUUCGAUAGGCACACUGGGCUGAUAGUGUUACACCCCAUAUUUUCGUACUUAUAAGUACGCCAUAAGUAAAUUGAUGAAAGCUCGGAAAUGAAAUAUUACAUCCUGCAUUAUUCGUACGUUAAAAUGUCGUCGUAAGUUAAUCGAUGUAAGUUCGGGAAUGAGAUUAUUCUAAGAUUAUAAGCACUAUGCUAUUUCAAACAAGUGAUGAUUAAAUUCAUGAAGGUGAGAGGGUAAGCAAAUAAAAGCAAAUGAAUUUCGUCAAAGUUUGACAAUUUAGGAUAAAAACAGUCCAAGCUAUAAUACUCCGUAUUUAUGGACUAGUACCAUACAAGGUACCAUAUGACCAUGAUAGUAAUAUGUAUAUAGUAUGUUAAAAGGGAGUAGUGUUUUAAGUAAUUUGAGAUAGUUCUUAAUUAUAUGAAUAAUUGAUUAAUGGAGGAAAUUAAUAAGUUAAGUAAAGAUUAAUGGAUGAUUAAUUAAAAUGUUGGCUAAGGACUAAAGAGCCUCACAUAGCAGCCCAAGGACACCUUAAUGAUGAGUCUUAAAUCACAAGACUAGGUGGCAUGUAUUAGGAAAGUUUGGUAGCUAGAUCCUUAUCUAAGUGGGGCCCACACCCAUUAAGGUUUAAAACCCUGUCUAAUUCACGUAAAGAGAUUUAAUAUCUCUACAAUAUGAAGAUGAAGGAUUCAUCCAAUUCAUAUGAGGAUCUAUAUGGUAGUAACAUGGUUUUCUUGAGGCAAAAUUUCAAACGAAACUUCUUAGCAUAAUCGCAACGGGGUUUUACGAUUCUAAGGGAGUACGGUACAAUCUUUCUCAAGAAUAUCAUACGGAUUUUCCUCUACUUCGAUCUGAUGUUACGUAUUGUCGCAAUUAACAUGUGUUAGAGGGAUUAUCAAGAGAAUCGGCUCAGGUAUGUUAAGGCUAUCCCUUUUUUCUUUUUGGCAUGAUCCAAAUGAUAUAAAAGAAACGAGCAAAUGCACAACUUCCAUAAAUGACUCUAUUGACAGAAAUACUAGAGAUGCUUAUGUUCUUGAUUCCCCAUGUGUCAUAUUAUUCUAUCGUAUGUUCAUGGGUCUCAGAAAAUACGUAAGUUGAUAAAGUUUACUUCAUGGUAUUAUUCAAAGGCAAAAUGGUCUUAUGACACUCCGAAAGAUUUUAUUUACGUACAUCUCAUACAUUGCAUUCAUGCACAUUGACCCAUAACGAGAUGGCAUUAUGAACGCAUAUACUCAUGCAUGGUAUGCUAUUUUUAUGCAUAUGCACGAUAUUAUAAUAUCAAAUGAUUCACAGAGUUAUUCAGAUAUACAUGUUUAGUCUUUUACUCCAUGUUUAUCUAAUGUCUAUUGUCUACUGAUUUUAUUCCUUUUAUACUCGGUACAUCAUUCGUACUGACAUCCCUUUUUCCUGGGGACGCUGCGUUUCAUGCCUGCAGGUCCCGAUAGACAGAUCGAGAGUCCUCUAAGUAGGCGAUUAGCUCAGCGGAAGAUGUUGAUUCACUCUAUUUGAUCCGGAGUUGCUUGUUUGGUCAGUAUAAUUUAGAUGUGUAUUGUUUGGUAUGGAGGGGCUCUGUCCCAACCUUUAUGAUAUUAUGUAUUCUUAGAGGCUUGUAGACAGAUGUCAUGUAUACGGAUUCUUGUAUGGCCUUGUCGGCCUAUGUUUUGAGUAUAUAAAGGAUCAU
Molecule: long non-coding RNA, 6293 nt
Filed under: Nicotiana tabacum (common tobacco)
Lineage: Eukaryota; Viridiplantae; Streptophyta; Magnoliopsida; Solanales; Solanaceae
Description: long non-coding RNA (NTAB_LNC000116)
Source: RNAcentral